CAGUCGCCGCGGUAAUACGAAGGGGGCUAGCGUUGUUCGGAUUUACUGGGCGUAAAGGGCGCGUAGGCGGACUGAUAAGUCAGGGGUGAAAUCCCAAGGCUCAACCUUGGAACUGCCUUUGAUACUGUUUGUCUUGAGUUCGAGAGAGGUAAGUGGAACUGCGAGUGUAGAGGUGAAAUUCGUAGAUAUUCGCAAGAACACCAGUGGCGAAGGCGGCUUACUGGCUCGAAACUGACGCUGAGGCGCGAAAGCGUGGGGGGCAAACAGGAUUAGAUACCCCUGUAGUCCCUGUCUCUUAUAC
Molecule: ribosomal RNA, 301 nt
Filed under: uncultured bacterium
Lineage: Bacteria
Description: partial 16S ribosomal RNA
Rfam family: Bacterial small subunit ribosomal RNA
Source: RNAcentral